AGUGAACGCUGGCGGUAGGCCUAACACAUGCAAGUCGAACGGCAGCACAGUAAGAGCUUGCUCUUACGGGUGGCGAGUGACGGACGGGUGAGGAAUACAUCGGAAUCUACUUUUUCGUGGGGGAUAACGUAGGGAAACUUACGCUAAUACCGCAUACGACCUACGGGUGAAAGCAGGGGAUCUUCGGACCUUGCGCGAUUGAAUGAGCCGAUGUCGGAUUAGCUAGUUGGCGGGGUAAAGGCCCACCAAGGCGACGAUCCGUAGCUGGUCUGAGAGGAUGAUCAGCCACACCGGAACUGAGACACGGUCCAGGCUCCUACGGGGGGCAGCAGUGGGGAAUAUUGGACAAUGGGCGCAAGCCUGAUCCAGCCAUACCGGGUGGGUGAAGAAGGCCUUCGGGUUGUAAAGCCCUUUUGUUGGGAAAGAAAAGCAGCAGGUUAAUACCCCGCUGUUCUGACGGUACCCAAAGAAUAAGCACCGGCUAACUUCGUG
This 492-nucleotide ribosomal RNA is filed under the name uncultured bacterium. Its description in RNAcentral is "partial 16S ribosomal RNA". It matches the Rfam family "Bacterial small subunit ribosomal RNA", at positions 29 to 507 of the family's 1533-position model. The record is from RNAcentral.